UUGGGUACUCUCAAUUUUACGGGUACCCUACCCGUUUACAUCCCUAUCCACCCACCUGGUUAUCUAAAUAAAAAUUUCCAUCCCUAUCCACCCACCUGGUUAUCUAAAUAAAAAUCUCCAUCACCAGAGGUGGAGUUGAAGUUUGAAAACCCAGCUGGGAAUAGUUCCACUCCACGUCCCCUCCUGCUUCAUGUGCAAACAUUGAUUAUUAUCUGGUUGUGAUCAUGAUCGAGGUGUCCCCGAUCACAUCCUUUUGUUAUUCCAAAAUCAAGUACCACCUUAGGACCCUGCAAGAAUUAGACAACCCAUAUCAUCAGCAGCAUCAAACACUUAACAAUAAUAAUUAACAGUU
RNAcentral lists this long non-coding RNA (352 nucleotides) under Manihot esculenta (cassava). RNAcentral's name for it is "long non-coding RNA (MESC_LNC003537)". The record is from RNAcentral. Lineage: Eukaryota; Viridiplantae; Streptophyta; Magnoliopsida; Malpighiales; Euphorbiaceae.